AAGACCUUGCACUUUUGGAGCGGCCGAUGUCUGAUUAGCUAGUUGGUGGGGUAAUGGCCCACCAAAGCUUCGAUCAGUAGCUGGUCUGAGAGGACGGCCAGCCACACUGGGACUGAGACACGGCCCAGACUCCUACGGGAGGCAGCAGUGGGGAAUUUUGGACAAUGGGCGCAAGCCUGAUCCAGCCAUGCCGCGUGAGUGAAGAAGGCCUUCGGGUUGUAAAGCUCUUUCAGCCGGGAAGAAAAGGUUGCGACUAAUAAUCGCAAUCCAUGACGGUACCGAAAGAAGAAGCACCGGCUAACUACGUGCCAGCAGCCGCGGUAAUACGUAGGGUGCGAGCGUUAAUCGGAAUUACUGGGCGUAAAGGGUGCGCAGGCGGUUUUGUAAGUCAGAUGUGAAAUCCCCGGGCUUAACCUGGGAACU
Molecule: ribosomal RNA, 423 nt
Filed under: uncultured bacterium
Lineage: Bacteria
Description: bacterial SSU rRNA
Rfam family: Bacterial small subunit ribosomal RNA
Source: RNAcentral